CAGUUCUCUGUAUCUCAGUUCGCCGCCGUUGCUGCCCAGCGCGCCGCUUGACUCGGGGUGACUCGGUACAGCGUGGAGUCAGCGACGUUGAGUAGAGGGGACAUGUGGCGCUCUAUCGGGAAGGUGGAGAGUCUGCUGUGGCUGCUGGCAGGCCUCCACGCUGCGGCGCUGUGCAGAGCAGGAACGGCAGCCACCGUGGGUGGAACGGUUAGGUUCCCCGUCCUACAUCACAGCCAGGAGAGGUUCGAGGUGGCGAUGUGGCGGAUCCAUACCGAUCUUGCAAUCCUGGCCUGGAAGUCUGACAGCUCGGAAUAUCCGUACAUGGUCCACACGUCCGACAGUGACAGGGUC
Amblyraja radiata (thorny skate) is the source of this 351-nucleotide long non-coding RNA. RefSeq lists it as uncharacterized. NCBI's taxonomy places the organism in Eukaryota, Metazoa, Chordata, Chondrichthyes, Rajiformes, Rajidae. The transcript has 3 exons. The record is from RefSeq and is a predicted model, not a curated record.